This is a non-coding RNA of Pantherophis guttatus, 1026 nucleotides long. The record is from RefSeq and is a predicted model, not a curated record. Lineage: Eukaryota; Metazoa; Chordata; Lepidosauria; Squamata; Colubridae.
CCGCGGACCAGGCCUGGCUGCGUUGCCGCUCCUUCUGGCUCUCGGGACCGGAAUUAGAGGGGGUUGGUUUCGAGCACGGUUGCCAGGCUCUGUUGUCCUAUUUUCCCUCUAGCGGAAUGGUGUCCUCGUUUUCUGGCACAAUGCACUUUAAAAGAAUUUCCACAGCUGACAGUCCCUUACUACCGACUUGAGGUAUGCAAGGAAUGCAGAUGGCGGAGUCCACGCCUCCUUCCGCUUCUCCAUCAAGAUCCUGCUUGAUUUACAAAUUCAGUCUUUCUUUUACUACCUUCCUCUGCCAGACCAAGUUUAGUCCUGUUGUAUUCAUUUCAAGGAGUAAUUGUGCUGACAGAACGCCUACGGCAAUCAAAUGAGCUCUAUAAGCAUUUUUAGAACAUGCAAACUGUGGAAUGUUUGUUUGGAAAUGUGCACAGCAGCCCAGAGAAAUAUCAAUAGGAGUAAAAAGAAACAUUUCAUGGGAGAAAGUGGCAUUUAAUUCAAAGCUGAAUUUGUACAAAAAGUAUCUGCAAGAUUCUCUUUAUAUUCAACAGCUGUGGAUCCUAGGAAAAAUUGCAUCUAUUGCCAUUUGUUGUUUCCACUUAACCAGUGAUCCUUCCUUAUAUCUUUCCUUGAUCUAUUACUCUUUGAUAUUUAUUGUCCUAUUGUAUUUAUUACUUCUGCACUUUAACUGCAUCCAUUAACUUCUGCAUCUGAGCUUAAAUGCUUGCAUAAAAAUGAAAAAUUUUGUAAUUUGAAGAGGACCAUUUUCAGACUUAAUUCAAGGUUGUAGCAUUGCAUUGUAUUUUCUGUCAUGAGCCACCUAAAAGACAGGUCUGACCUACGUUUACUGCUUCAAUGAGAGCUGUGCCUUUUAGAACAUAACUCUUAAUAGUUACAGUAAUUUGUGUGUUCCAGCAGUUCAUUACUUAUGAAUAACAAAAACUGAUUUUUUUUCAUUCCCAAUUGCAAUGGGAUCCCAGGAUGUAGACAAGUUUCUUAAUGCAAUUAUAAAAGUUCAGAACAUUCUAA